Long non-coding RNA from Spinacia oleracea (spinach), 3793 nucleotides. RefSeq lists it as uncharacterized. The transcript is spliced from 2 exons. The record is from RefSeq and is a predicted model, not a curated record. NCBI's taxonomy places the organism in Eukaryota, Viridiplantae, Streptophyta, Magnoliopsida, Caryophyllales, Amaranthaceae.
UCAAAGUCUGAAAGCCUUGUCUGAUACAUGGGAAUGUUACAACAUUUCAGGUACGGCGGCUGCAUUAUUGCAAUUCAUGUGAACUCAAUAUUACUAUUUUUUUUGUACUACCUUCGUAAUUAAAUUAGUUUUACAAUUUUUAUUUUAGUACUUUCAUGAUAUUCUUUAUAUUGUGCUUUCAUUUUUUAUUUGGACAUGAAAUUUAUUAUCUUGGCGCUCUUACCCCACAACAUUUACAACUUGUCACUUAUGUUUUCUUAAUACGAAGUAUAUUCAUUUUUUUCUUACAAUCACCCACAUUUUUACACAUAUCUCUCAUAUUACCCAUAAUUUAUUAUAUCCAUCUAUCUUUUUACACACUUUUCCUAUUUGGUAUUAAUAUUUGUGCAAAUAGUAACUAUAAAGAUUAUUUUGAAACGGAGUAAUAUUUAAUAGAGCAUAAACUAAAUCACCAGCAACUUGCAAAGAACUUUAAUGCGACCCCAAUUUUUGAAAAAUAACUCGCAUUACCAUAUUAUAUAACCAACCACUAAUUGUUGUUGAUCUAUAACAUUCAUUUAUAAAAAUACAUGUUAACAUGAAGCCUAGAAUAACUAAAUCUUUCCUUUAAAAAAAACAACUAAAUCUUUCCUUUAAAAAAAACAACUACUCCCUCCGUCUCUUUUUGUUCUUUACGUUUUCCUUUUUGGGUAUUUCAAAAUGUUUUUUACAUUUCUUUUUAUAUUAUCACAUAAAUGACUUAGUAUUCUAUCAAAAUUUGUGUCCAAUUAUCAUUUUAACCAAUUAAAUUCAUUGAGUCAUUUAAUAUCUCACACUUUUACAUUGGAACAUUAAAUUUUUCUCAUAUUCCCAAUAUCAGAAUUUUGAUAAAAGUGAAAACAUUAUAAAUAAACGUAAUUUAUCUUGUUUAAAUAAAAAAAAUUGAGGAAUCUCGAUGCAAAUUAAUUAAUCGUUAAAACGCGUGAAAAAUGUCAAACGUAAAAAACAAAAAGAGACAGAGGGAGUAAAUCUUUAUGUUACAUUUUAUUUCCUGUGGACUAUAUGGAAAAGAAAAAUAAAGCAUUAGUAAAAGCAUGAAUUAAACAUGAUGUUAUGAGUCUCAUAAGCAUGAACUAUAAAAAUGUCCUACACAUAUCUAAUUUGAUAUUUAUUAAUUUAAAGUACGUCGUUCCGUUAGAAAAUAAAUUAAACGGAUUGUAAGAUUAAGUAUAUAAUUGAAAACUUAAUUGCCAUGAUAAACGAGGUAGUGUUCCUGUGUAGUUCACAAACUCAAUGAAUUUUUUCGCUUUUAUGAACUACAUGUAUUUUGGUCAAAUAUUAAACUCAAGAAGAAUCUCAAAUUUUAAUUAUUCAACGUUGCAACCGGGACAUCGCCCGGGCCACACACUAAUUUUACUAUUAUUUUUUCUCAUUUCUAAAUAAUAUUGUACCGCCAGGUAACAAAAUAAUACUUAUUUUUUUCCUUUCUUCAGAGCAAGCGCAACAAUUAACAUGGUUGCGCUCACUCUGAGGGGGCUAGUUGUACGGGGUGUCCUACCGGUAUUACUCCCCGUAAGUAAAACUAACCAGCAGGUAAUUUGGUCAUCUUAGAUAAUCACCUCUUACCGGCAUGCUUGUAAUGCCCUUACCGGCCAAAGCAUGGCGACGACCAAUCAUCGAUCAACCACAGGUCACUGUCAAACAGGUUGUUAUCCCACUAGAAGGGACCUACUUGACCGUACGCUUGGAUUGGUCUAUAUAAGGAGGACCUCAUUUAUUGCUAUGAGGUACACAAACACUUAAACACACUUCUUUCUUACUAUUUGAUUAUCUCUUAAUCACUUCAGUAAUCUUACUUAGGCAUCGGAGGGGGAUCCUCGAACCACCCCCGAGGCUAGUUAAUCUAUUCUAUUACGCAGAUACCAGCAGACAUUCUCAGCAGGAGUUUAGUACCCCACAGUCGGCUGUUCCUAUUCCAUACCAGGAACAAAUAUAUUAUAGAGAAUACUUGCUCUGUAAAUAUUAAAAAUACAUGUAAAUAUUACUCUGUAUAUAUGUACGUAGUAUUUUUCUAAAAAAGUCAAAGGGUUCUCUAAAAGGAAAAAUAACAAUUAGUACUUUGUUUCUAAACAGUUGCACCAUUUUUACUUUGACACUAUUCACUUUUUUUUUUAACCAUAAUCUAUUACUAAUAAAUACGGAGUAACUAAUAAAUAAAAAUAAAUAUUAUUAUGUAAAAUGUUACUGGGACGGUUUCAUUCUAUAUUUUAAGUAUAUUAAUAUUUUAAUAAUUUUCACUAACACAUAAUAAUAACUUUGUAAGUAUUGAUGGUCAAAGUUUUGCGUUGGAAAACGUAAAAGUCAAAUGUUGCAACUAUUUAGAAACGAAUAAGGUAGUUUGGUAUUAAUAACACGGAAUUUUUUCCAAUUACUACUUAGGCUUUUGGUGACUUGCAAAUUACUACAUAGGUUUUUAAAAGUUGUCAAUUACUACCUAGGCCUUUAGUUAUUGUUGUCAAUUGCUACUUAGUCAAAAUUUCGGCCAAUUAGUUACUAAUCAUAUCUUAAUCAAUUUUUAAUCAUAAUUUAAUUAUCCUAAAAUUAAUAAAUUAAAAAAAAAAUCAAAACUAUUUAAGUCAGAUAUAUACGAAAAUACCAAAAAAAAAAAAAAACACCCCAAACAAAAAUAAACUCCCUAAAAAUUGUUGCUCCUUCAACUUAUGUUUUUUCUACUGCCAUUGUUUAGAGCUUCUCUUAUGGUUUUUCUACUAUUCUUCAUCCCAAAACACGAAAUUUGCUAAUUUACAUGUUGGUUUGUUGCUACUCGUCUCUCUCUCUCUCUCUCUCUCUCUCUCUCUCUCUCUCUCUGAUGGUGUCUAUGCUCAUCUCUCAUUUCUUCUCUUUAGUUUUUGCGGCCUUGCAUUACUGUUCUUGCUAGUUCUCCUUCUCCAACGAGCAAAAUUAUAUUCAAGCUCUUUCUACCGAGGAGCCACGGGAUGGACAUGUAAAUGUGAUUUGAAGGCUUAGAUUAGGAAGGGAUAGACCAAAGAAAAUCCAAGAAGAAGGUUUAUUGCGUGUCCUGAUUACAUAUACAAUGUUGACGCAAACUGGAGAGGAUGCAUAUACUUCAUAUGGUAUGAUGAGGAAAUGACAUUUUGGCCGCUAAAGGGCCAUAAUUUCGGGGCUGUUGGAUCAAAAGAAUGAGUUGUGGAAGGAGAAUGGAAAACUGAAGAAGACGAUUGAUAAUGUGAACCAUGGAUGCAAGGAAAAUGAAAACUCAGUAUAUGAUAGGGGUGAGCAAAAUCGGAUAUCCGGUCCGGUUUUAAAACCGGAUCGGAUACCCGGUUUUUCGGAUCACAAAAAACAUGAUCCGUAUCCAACCCGGUUUAACUGGAUAUCCAAUUUUUAACCGAUAGGAAAAUUCGGAUAAUCCGAAUUUUAUUUAUACAAAACUAAUUCUUAAUACCUUGCGAAUAAGCUCUUUUAUUAUUAAUAUUCGUCAUAAAUUUGUAGUAAAUUAACUUUUCCGACACUUUAAAACGUAGGGGACACGGGAUAUGCGUAGGAAAACGCAGGGAUUUCUGGUAGUGACACGAUAAUUGUAAAUUUAAUAACCUUAGUAUGCAUCGAGUUUCUCAUGCGUAGAGUUUCUUUUUCUUUGGUAUUUCAACAUCAUUAAUCACAAAUAUAUAAUAUAACACGUAGUGUUUUAGUAUAAUCAAUUAACUACAUUCAGUAAUUUUCUUUAGUAUUGUAUCUUACAGACUUAUAUUUUUAUAACAUUAUGGAAGCUCUCACACAUGUUAUUCAGUAA